AUGAGAAUCACCUGGGGGAUUUUGUUAAAAUUCAGGCUCCAGCUUAGGACAAGAAAUGGAUCUCCAGAUUUUGCAGUUCCUACAACCUCCCAGGUGAUGUUAAU
Molecule: microRNA precursor, 104 nt
Filed under: Marmota monax (woodchuck)
Lineage: Eukaryota; Metazoa; Chordata; Mammalia; Rodentia; Sciuridae
Source: RNAcentral